AGGUGCGAUCAUACCAGCACUAAUGCACUGGAUUCCAUCAGAACUCCGCAGUGAAACGUGCUUGGGCGAGAGUAAUACUAGGAUGGGUGAACCUCCUGGGAAGUCCUCGGGUUGCACUUC
This 120-nucleotide ribosomal RNA is filed under the name Phaseolus vulgaris (common bean). The record is from RNAcentral. Lineage: Eukaryota; Viridiplantae; Streptophyta; Magnoliopsida; Fabales; Fabaceae.